GAAGGGGAGACGCGGCAGCAGGAAGGUCUGGACAGUGCGGGCAAAAGCAAAUCCCAGAAAAGAGGCUCCGGGGGGCUCCGUGGCAGGGGAGAUGCCAAAGCUGAGCCCUGAAUUGCUCCAAGUCCCCACUGGCUCUGCAGUUCCACCAGAUUUCAGGGGAGUUCAAAGGUGUUUUCCUGCCUCCUCAGAGCCCUGGGCUAUUUUUAGCUGUCAGAUGUUGGCAGCCCAGCUCUCACAGACAACUGUGUGGUGACAAUGUGCACAUGGAAAUGGCUCAUUCCUGAGCUCCAGGAACGGCCAAGAACCAGGGAUCUCCACAUCUCCACCAGCAGGGGCUGUGUGGGGCUGUGCAGCCGGACACACGGACGGCCUCCAGCCCAUCCCAGACCCGACUGGACGCCUG
This is a long non-coding RNA of Passer domesticus (house sparrow), 403 nucleotides long. RefSeq lists it as uncharacterized. The transcript has 3 exons. Lineage: Eukaryota; Metazoa; Chordata; Aves; Passeriformes; Passeridae. The record is from RefSeq and is a predicted model, not a curated record.